Molecule: ribosomal RNA, 520 nt
Filed under: Cyanea capillata
Lineage: Eukaryota; Metazoa; Cnidaria; Scyphozoa; Semaeostomeae; Cyaneidae
Description: partial 16S ribosomal RNA
Rfam family: Bacterial large subunit ribosomal RNA
Source: RNAcentral
UAAAGUUGAAAAACCAUAACACCAGUUAAAUAGCCGCGGUAACUCUGACCGUGAUAAAGUAGCAUAAUCAUUUGUCAUUUAAUUGGUGACUAGAAUGAAUGGUUAAACGAAUCUCUAGCUGUCUCAACAAGAAAUAGAACAAAAUUAAAAUUACAGUGAAGAUGCUGUGAAUAAAUUGCAAGACGAAAAGACCCUAUUGAGCUUUACUGGAUGUUUGUGAACUUUUCUCAUCAUAAUAAUAUAAGUGACCUAUAAAGCAAAUAAGACAGUUUGGUUGGGGCGACCACCUCUAAAAUAGUAACAGAGGAGAUCUAAAGGUUAAAUUUAUGAAUACUAACUUUACUGAAAUAAUAAUAGUUUAAUCAGUUACUCACUAAGUAGGACAUAAUGACCCGCUAUUUUUUAUGUAAAAAAUAACGAUUACAGAAUAAGUUACCAUAGGGAUAACAGGGUAAUAGUUUUCAAGAGUUCAUAUCGACGAAACUGUUUGCCACCUCGAUGUUGAAUUGUGAUAUCCUAA